CCUACGGGAGGCAGCAGUGAGGAAUAUUGGUCAAUGGGCGUAAGCCUGAACCAGCCAAGUCGCGUGAGGGAUGAAGGUUCUAUGGAUCGUAAACCUCUUUUAUAAGGGAAUAAAGUGCGGGACGUGUCCCGUUUUGUAUGUACCUUAUGAAUAAGGAUCGGCUAACUCCGUGCCCGCAGCCCCGGUAAUACGGAGGAUCCGAGCGUUAUCCGGAUUUAUUUGGGUUAAAGGGUUCGUAGGCGGCCUUUUAAGUCAGCGGGGAAAGUCUGUGGGUCAAACCUAGAAUUGCCGUUGAAACUGGGAGGCUUGAGUAUGUGAGAGGCAGGCGGAAUGCGGGGUGUAGCGGUGAAAUGCAUAGAGAUCACGCAGAACCCCGAUUGCGAAGGCAGCAUGCCAGGGCAUGACUGACGCUGAUGCACGAAAGCGUGGGGAUCAAACAGGAUUAGAUACCCGGGUAGUC
This 460-nucleotide ribosomal RNA is filed under the name uncultured bacterium. RNAcentral's name for it is "partial 16S ribosomal RNA". It matches the Rfam family "Bacterial small subunit ribosomal RNA", at positions 338 to 795 of the family's 1533-position model. The record is from RNAcentral.